UCCAGGGGUGGGGUCAAGACAGGAGC
RNAcentral lists this non-coding RNA (26 nucleotides) under Homo sapiens (human). Lineage: Eukaryota; Metazoa; Chordata; Mammalia; Primates; Hominidae. The record is from RNAcentral.